AUUGAACGCUGGCGGCAGGCCUAACACAUGCAAGUCGAGCGGAUGAAGGGAGCUUGCUCCUGGAUUCAGCGGCGGACGGGUGAGUAAUGCCCAGGAAUCUGCCUGGUAGUGGGGGAUAACGUCCGGAAACGGGCGCUAAUACCGCAUACGUCCUGAGGGAGAAAGUGGGGGAUCUUCGGACCUCACGCUAUCAGAUGAGCCUAGGUGGGAUUAGCUAGUUGGUGGGGUAAAGGCCUACCAAGGCGACGAUCCGUAACUGGUCUGAGAGGAUGAUCAGUCACACGGGAACUGAGACACGGUCCAGACUCCUACGGGAGGCAGCAGUGGGGAAUAUUGGACAAUGGGCGAAAGCCUGAUCCAGCCAUGCCGCGUGUGUGAAGAAGGUCUUCGGAUUGUAAAGCACUUUAAGUUGGGAGGAAGGGCAGUAAGUUAAUACCUUGCUGUUUUGACGUUACCAACAGAAUAAGCACCGGCUAACUUCGUG
Molecule: ribosomal RNA, 484 nt
Filed under: uncultured bacterium
Lineage: Bacteria
Description: partial 16S ribosomal RNA
Rfam family: Bacterial small subunit ribosomal RNA
Source: RNAcentral